This 253-nucleotide ribosomal RNA is filed under the name uncultured bacterium. RNAcentral's name for it is "partial 16S ribosomal RNA". It matches the Rfam family "Bacterial small subunit ribosomal RNA", at positions 524 to 776 of the family's 1533-position model. The record is from RNAcentral.
UACGGAGGGUGCAAGCGUUAUCCGGAUUUACUGGGUUUAAAGGGUGCGCAGGCGGGCCAGUAAGUCAGUGGUGAAAUCCCGGGGCUCAGCCCCGGAACUGCCUUUGAUACUAUUGGUCUUGAAUAUCGUUGAGGCUGGCGGAAUACAUCAUGUAGCGGUGAAAUGCUUAGAUAUGAAGUAGAACACCGAUUGCGAAGGCAGCUGGCUGAGCGAUGAUUGACGCUCAUGCACGAAAGCGAGGGGAUCAAACAGG